This 385-nucleotide ribosomal RNA is filed under the name uncultured bacterium. RNAcentral's name for it is "bacterial SSU rRNA". It matches the Rfam family "Bacterial small subunit ribosomal RNA", at positions 28 to 417 of the family's 1533-position model. The record is from RNAcentral.
GACGAACGCUGGCGGCGUGCUUAACACAUGCAAGUCGAGCGGUAAGGCCCUUCGGGGUACACGAGCGGCGAACGGGUGAGUAACACGUGGGUGACCUGCCCUUAGCUCUGGGAUAAGCCUGGGAAACUGGGUCUAAUACCGGAUAUGACCUCAUGACGCAUGUUGUGGGGUGGAAAGCCUUGUGCGGCUAGGGAUGGGCCCGCGGCCUAUCAGCUUGUUGGUGGGGUGAUGGCCACCAAGGCGACGACGGGUAGCCGGCCUGAGGGGGCGACCGGCCACACUGGGACUGAGACACGGCCCAGACUCCUACGGGAGGCAGCAGUGGGGAAUCUUGCGCAAUGGGCGAAAGCCUGACGCAGCGACGCCGCGUGAGGGAUGACGGCCU